AUUGAACGCUGGCGGCAUGCCUUACACAUGCCAGUCGAACGGCAGCACGGGUGCUUGCACCUGGUGGCGAGUGGCGAACGGGUGAGUAAUACAUCGGAACAUGUCCUGUAGUGGGGGAUAGCCCGGCGAAAGCCGGAUUAAUACCGCAUACGAUCUACGGAUGAAAGCGGGGGACCUUCGGGCCUCGCGCUAUACGGUUGGCCGAUGGCUGAUUAGCUAGUUGGUGGGGUAAAGGCCUACCAAGGCGACGAUCAGUAGCUGGUCUGAGAGGACGACCAGCCACACUGGGACUGAGACACGGCCCAGACUCCUACGGGAGGCAGCAGUGGGGAAUUUUGGACAAUGGGCGAAAGCCUGAUCCAGCAAUGCCGCGUGUGUGAAGAAGGCCUUCGGGUUGUAAAGCACUUUUGUCCGGAAAGAAAUCCUUGGCCCUAAUACGGUCGGGGGAUGACGGUACCGGAAGAAUAAGCACCGGCUAACUACGUG
RNAcentral lists this ribosomal RNA (486 nucleotides) under uncultured bacterium. Its description in RNAcentral is "partial 16S ribosomal RNA". It matches the Rfam family "Bacterial small subunit ribosomal RNA", at positions 30 to 507 of the family's 1533-position model. The record is from RNAcentral.